This 229-nucleotide ribosomal RNA is filed under the name uncultured bacterium. RNAcentral's name for it is "partial 16S ribosomal RNA". It matches the Rfam family "Bacterial small subunit ribosomal RNA", at positions 568 to 796 of the family's 1533-position model. The record is from RNAcentral.
CGCGCAGGCGGUUUUAUAAGUCAGAUGUGAAAGCCCACGGCUCAACCGUGGAAGUGCAUUUGAAACUGUAAGACUUGAGUACCAGAGGGGGUAGUGGAAUUCCCGGUGUAGAGGUGAAAUUCGUAGAUAUCGGGAGGAAUACCGGUGGCGAAGGCGACUACCUGGCUGGAUACUGACGCUGAGGCGCGAAAGCGUGGGGAGCAAACAGGAUUAGAUACCCUGGUAGUCC